UAAAGUUAUAAAAAAACGAGAGCAGCUCUCCUGCCUAUUUUUUUAUUUCCCUUUUUUUUUCCUUCUCUUCUGCUCCAUUGCCAGCGAGUUUCCAACUGUUGGUCUUAUCAUUAUUAUUCCCAGUCUUCUUCUGAUCUCUUCCUCCAUUGUGGAAGAGAGCUCCCCAAGAGCACCUUCACCUCUUCUAAUAUCGUAGAGAGAUGCCCCCGAGAGGCUUUGUUCUGGUCUUUUUCUUCUGGGCUCUUCUCAGCAUCAUCACCCCAACUCUCAUCUUUUGGUCAGCGUCGGCAAGACCCAAUCUGGGUUCUCAAGGAGAGUCUAGGAGUGAGAUGAGAACCAGGAGGAUGAUGGAUUCUAUGAAGAAUAAAACAACAACGACGACGACGACAAUUACACAACCACCGACACCGGCGCCGGCGCCGGCGCCGGAGCCGGCAACCGGCAUCGAUGACAGCAAAUGAAACACUUUGGUAACGGAGAUUUUUUUAUGUGCCUAUUUAUUUAUUCUCAAGACGGAGGGAAGCAUAGAAGAGGAGCGGAUGUCUGCUUGGUAAUAAAUGGAUGUCCUGAUCUACUGGACUUCUUAUUUAUGAGAAGGUUGGAUGGAUCGUCUUCUGCCAUUUUAAUUUAGAGGGAAGGGGUGAUUUGUUUUUCCCUAUAAAAUUCCAUUGGAAUUGACUGAUACAAUUUUAAGUUAAUUCACAUUUUCUCUUUCUUAAAUUGUAUUUUAGAAAGAAAUCAUGAAUUGUAUUUCAUGCCAACGAUUUAUUCUUUAAAAUUUUGUGGUAAAUAACUAGAGGAAAUUGGAGUGUGCACUGCA
This is a long non-coding RNA of Phoenix dactylifera (date palm), 820 nucleotides long. RefSeq lists it as uncharacterized. The record is from RefSeq and is a predicted model, not a curated record. Lineage: Eukaryota; Viridiplantae; Streptophyta; Magnoliopsida; Arecales; Arecaceae.